UUUAGUCAGGCAACGAGCGAGACCCACGCCAACAGUUGCCAGCUCGUCCCCCGGGAUGGAGGGGACACUGUUGGGACCGCCUCUGCUAAAGAGGAGGAAGGAAUGGGCAACGGUAGGUCAGCAUGCCCCGAAUUAUCUGGGCUACACGCGGGCUACAAUGGGUGGGACAAUGGGUAUCGACACCGAAAGGUGAAGGCAAUCUCCUAAACCCAUCCUUAGUUCGGAUUGUGGGCUGCAACUCGCCCACAUGAAGCUGGAAUCUGUAGUAAUCGUGUUUCAAAAUAGCACGGUGAAUAUGUCCCUGCUCCUUGCACA
RNAcentral lists this ribosomal RNA (315 nucleotides) under uncultured euryarchaeote. RNAcentral's name for it is "bacterial SSU rRNA". It matches the Rfam family "Archaeal small subunit ribosomal RNA", at positions 1029 to 1343 of the family's 1478-position model. Lineage: Archaea; Methanobacteriati; Methanobacteriota. The record is from RNAcentral.